UACGGGGGGGCAAGCGUUGUUCGGAAUUACUGGGCGUAAAGGGCUCGUAGGCGGCCAACUAAGUCGGACGUGAAAUCCCUCGGCUUAACCGGGGAACUGCGUCCGAUACUGGAUGGCUUGAGUUUGGGAGAGGGAUGCGGAAUUCCAGGUGUAGCGGUGAAAUGCGUAGAUAUCUGGAGGAACACCGGUGGCGAAGGCGGCAUCCUGGACCAACACUGACGCUGAUGAGCGAAAGCCAGGGAGCAACAGG
This 250-nucleotide ribosomal RNA is filed under the name uncultured bacterium. RNAcentral describes it as "partial 16S ribosomal RNA". It matches the Rfam family "Bacterial small subunit ribosomal RNA", at positions 524 to 776 of the family's 1533-position model. The record is from RNAcentral.